Molecule: ribosomal RNA, 261 nt
Filed under: uncultured prokaryote
Description: partial 16S ribosomal RNA
Rfam family: Bacterial small subunit ribosomal RNA
Source: RNAcentral
UACGUAGGGUGCGAGCGUUGUCCGGAAUUACUGGGCGUAAAGCGUGCGUAGGUGGUUCGUUAAGUCUGAUGUGAAAGCCCUGGGCUCAACCUGGGAAUUGCAUUGGAUACUGGCGGGCUAGAGUACGGUAGAGGGUGGCGGAAUUCCUGGUGUAGCAGUGAAAUGCGUAGAUAUCAGGAGGAACAUCCGUGGCGAAGGCGGCCACCUGGACCAGUGCUGACACUGAGGCACGAAAGCGUGGGGAGCAAACAGGAUUAGAUA